RNAcentral lists this ribosomal RNA (506 nucleotides) under uncultured bacterium. RNAcentral describes it as "partial 16S ribosomal RNA". It matches the Rfam family "Bacterial small subunit ribosomal RNA", at positions 29 to 523 of the family's 1533-position model. The record is from RNAcentral.
AGUGAACGCUGGCGGUAGGCCUAACACAUGCAAGUCGAACGGCAGCACAGGAGAGCUUGCUCUCUGGGUGGCGAGUGGCGGACGGGUGAGGAAUACAUCGGAAUCUACUCUGUCGUGGGGGAUAACGUAGGGAAACUUACGCUAAUACCGCAUACGACCUACGGGUGAAAGCAGGGGACCUUCGGGCCUUGCGCGAUUGAAUGAGCCGAUGUCGGAUUAGCUAGUUGGCGGGGUAAAGGCCCACCAAGGCGACGAUCCGUAGCUGUUCUGAGAGGAAGAUCAGCCACACUGGAACUGGGACACGGUCCAGACUCCUACGGGAGGCAGAAGUGGGGAAUAUUGGAAAAUGGGCGCAAGCCUGAUCCAGCCAUACCGCGUGGGUGAAGAGGGCCUUCGGGUUGUAAAGCCCUUUUGUUGGGAAAGAAAUCCAGCUGGCUAAUACCCGGUUGGGAUGACGGUACCCAAAGAAUAAGCACCGGCUAACUUCGUGCCAGCAGCCGCCGUAA